This is a long non-coding RNA of Ceratitis capitata (Mediterranean fruit fly), 1232 nucleotides long. RefSeq lists it as uncharacterized. The record is from RefSeq and is a predicted model, not a curated record. The transcript is spliced from 3 exons. Lineage: Eukaryota; Metazoa; Arthropoda; Insecta; Diptera; Tephritidae.
CAAAUAGAAAAAUUUAAUGAUUCCAAUUAUGAAUCGUGAAAUUUACUAAUGAAAAGCGUUCUGGUACAUUGUGAGCACUGGGAAAUUGCAAGCGAAUGAAGCGGCAACUCCCACUGCAUAUUUGCAGAGGCAAUUGCAAAAUGGGAGUCUCAAGAUGAGAAUAGCAAUAGUUACUAUCGAGUCUGCCGAAGUCUUAUGAGUCUUUUAUUGUCGCAAUAGACACGCGAGACAUAUUGCCAACGCUGAAUACAUUUAAGGCAAAGCCAAUGGAACAAGGUCAUCGGAGAAGUGAACUUGAUCGAAAUGCAGAAAGUAAUGUUAGUGAAAAAGCUUAUACAGCGCGAGACAAAGGGUAGAAAACACAAGAACAAAAGAAACGUGCAAGGAGGUCAAAUGUGAAAUGUUUUAACUGCGGAAAGAAAGAACAUAUUGCUCUAAAUUGUAUAGACAAGCGAAGAAUUUAUCAAUGGAACAACAAGAUGAACAGAAGGCGAUUCCAGCUCUUGUACAUCGAUAGUGGAGCGACAUCACAUAUAUGUUGCGAUAUGAAAAAGUUCGAUGUAUGUAUUUGACAAUGAUUACAAGAAUGUAAUUUUAUCAGGUAAAAAUUUCAUAGAAGCCAAAGGAAAAGGAAACAUCACGUUGAAAUUUGGACAGUCUAAGAGCUGUCGAACUUGCAAACUCAGUAGUUUUUAACAAGAAGUUUGCAAUUGUGAGAAAUAGAUUUGGUCAAAAAGCGACUUAUAGUUCGAGGACGGCGGCUUAAAAGAAUAUGCAAUGGAGCCAAAGUGAUUUUACCCGAAAUUUUAUAGAAGAAGAUAUCGAUGGAGGUUGUUGUUGUGUACACAAUAUUUCGCGCUAAGGUUGAAAUGCUGUUUGGCAACUUUCCUCACAAUGGAGGCUAGUGAAUUGGAGGCAAGUUGUCAUUGCGAAAUACCACAACACACACUCCUCCGUCGAGAGAACCGUCGAUCCACAAAUUUUUUUAAAGAAGAAGGCUAUUUUUUUAUCAUUUACAUGUCAACCGACUUUUGGAUUCAACAUAAAUUCCAUAAUGUGCUAAUAAAAUAAAACCUUAUUGAAAUUUUAAUUUUCUGACAGCAGGGUUGGGUGCUUAAAUGGUUAACCUAUCUGCGAACUUUUCCAUAUUUACAGAUGAUAUAAGAGUUUCAAUAUAGCUCUGAAAAGCUUUGCAAUGUUUGGUAUUUUUUUUGGAUAUGACGUUGAUAAUA